Molecule: ribosomal RNA, 356 nt
Filed under: Escherichia coli
Lineage: Bacteria; Pseudomonadati; Pseudomonadota; Gammaproteobacteria; Enterobacterales; Enterobacteriaceae
Description: bacterial LSU rRNA
Rfam family: Bacterial large subunit ribosomal RNA
Source: RNAcentral
UUUAAAGUGGUACGCGAGCUGGGUUUAGAACGUCGUGAGACAGUUCGGUCCCUAUCUGCCGUGGGCGCUGGAGAACUGAGGGGGGCUGCUCCUAGUACGAGAGGACCGGAGUGGACGCAUCACUGGUGUUCGGGUUGUCAUGCCAAUGGCACUGCCCGGUAGCUAAAUGCGGAAGAGAUAAGUGCUGAAAGCAUCUAAGCACGAAACUUGCCCCGAGAUGAGUUCUCCCUGACUCCUUGAGAGUCCUGAAGGAACGUUGAAGACGACGACGUUGAUAGGCCGGGUGUGUAAGCGCAGCGAUGCGUUGAGCUAACCGGUACUAAUGAACCGUGAGGCUUAACCUUACAACGCCGAAG